This 1034-nucleotide ribosomal RNA is filed under the name uncultured bacterium. RNAcentral describes it as "bacterial SSU rRNA". It matches the Rfam family "Bacterial small subunit ribosomal RNA", at positions 85 to 1149 of the family's 1533-position model. The record is from RNAcentral.
AGCAAUAGAAGUGGCGAAAGGGCGAGGAAUAGAUUCCUACGUACCCCGGAGUCAGGGAUAACCAUCGGAAACGGUGGCUAACACCUGAUGAUCUCGAAAGAGCAAAGUUUACGCUCUGGGAGCGGGGAAUCUCCUAUCAGGUAGUUGGUGAGGUAAUGGCUCACCAAGCCUUAGACGGGUAGCGGGUGUGAGAGCACGGCCCGCCGCAUCGGGACUGAGACACUGCCCGGACUCCUACGGGAGGCUGCAGUAACGAAUCUUCCGCAAUGCACGAAAGUGUGACGGGGCAAUGCCGCGUGUGGGAUGAAGCCCCUCGGGGUGUAAACCACUGUCAGGGUCUAGGAACACAAUGACCAUACCCAAAGGAAGCACCGGCUAACUCUGUGCCAGCAGCCGCGGUAAUACAGAGGGUGCGAGCGUUAAUCGGAAUUACUGGGCUUAAAGGGUCCGUAGGCUGGGCUGUAGGCGUCGAGUGAAAUACCACGGCUCAACCGUGGAACUGCUCGGCGAACCACAGCUCUUGAGGCGAGCAGAGGCGAUCAGAACGAUAGGUGGAGCGGUGAAAUGCGUAGAUAUCUAUCGGAAUGCCGAAGGUGGAGACAGGUCGCUGGGCUCGUCCUGACGCUGAGGGACGAAAGCGUGGGGAGCAAACGGGAUUAGAUACCCCGGUAGUCCACGCCGUAAACAAUGCGCACUGGGUCGGAGGGGUUUGACGCCUUUCUGGCCGAAGCAAAAGUGUUAAGUGCGCCGCCUGGGGAGUACGGUCGCAAGGCUAAAACUCAAAGGAAUUGACGGGGGCUCACACAAGCGGUGGAGCAUGUGGCUUAAUUCGAAGCAACGCGAAGAACCUUAUCCCAGGCUUGACAUCCAGGUAUUAGUCCUAUGAAAGUAGGAUAACAGUCGCAAGACCGGAACUUGGACAGGUGCUGCAUGGCUGUCGUCAGCUCGUGCUGUGAAGUGUCGGGUUAAGUCCCUCACGAGCGAAACCCCUAUUGUUAGUUGCUAACAGGUAAUGCUGAGGACUCUAGCGAGAC